This is a long non-coding RNA of Suricata suricatta (meerkat), 652 nucleotides long. RefSeq lists it as uncharacterized. The record is from RefSeq and is a predicted model, not a curated record. Lineage: Eukaryota; Metazoa; Chordata; Mammalia; Carnivora; Herpestidae. The transcript has 2 exons.
CUUAAUAAGUACUAAUGAUGCCAGCACAGGGGUGGUGAUGAUAAGUGGCCAUAGCAGGAGCUCAGGGGCCAGCCUGAGGCUACCCAAGAGGAAACCUCUCAUUGCUGAGCCAAGAGACAGUGGUGGUGAUCUAUGAUGAUGGGCAGCAAUGGUUGGAAGCAGGAGGAACUGGGCCAGUAUGGAUGCUGAGGCCUGGAAGCAGAUGGUGGCAGAGGCCAGCUCGGACCCUCCAGGAGGCAUGCCGUCCAGGAAAUCCACUCUAAGAAUGGCAGCCGCCACCACCCCUGGACUGUGUGAGCCAGACCCGGGCCCAGGGCCUCCCCUCACCUGGGGCCAGGUGUGUGCGGAAGGUACGGUUGACGAGGGGGAAGUGCAACACGAUGGGAGAGCGCGGGUCCUUGGCCUUGGUGAACAGGUAACACUCACGGGGUUCCUCCAAAUCCUCAGGGAGCACUUCGAUACUUGGGAAGGGGAUGCCUCGGUCCAGGCAGUACUUCUCUGUCAUCUGUAAGACCUGGGCAGGGAGGCCAGCUUUAGACCCUGCCUCCAGCCGCCUGCUCUCACACAGCCUGCCCACUAGCUGAGUGACUGCAAGUGAGCUAAAUCUCCAGUCAAUGUCUUUAUUUACAUAAUAAAAAUGGGAAUAACUCUA